RNAcentral lists this ribosomal RNA (428 nucleotides) under uncultured bacterium. RNAcentral describes it as "bacterial SSU rRNA". It matches the Rfam family "Bacterial small subunit ribosomal RNA", at positions 356 to 775 of the family's 1533-position model. The record is from RNAcentral.
GAGGAAUAUUGCGCAAUGGGGGCAACCCUGACGCAGCAACGCCGCGUGAGUGAGGAAGGUUUUCGGACCGUAAAGCUCUGUCGAGCGGGAAGAAAUGCAUGGUGGCUAAUAUCCAUCAUGCUUGACGGUACCGCUAAAGGAAGCACCGGCUAACUCCGUGCCAGCAGCCGCGGUAAUACGGGGGGUGCGAGCGUUGUUCGGAAUUAUUGGGCGUAAAGAGCGUGUAGGCGGCCGAAUAAGUCAGAUGUGAAAUCCCUGGGCUUAACCCAGGACGUGCAUUUGAAACUAUUCGGCUGGAGUAGGGGAGAGGAAAGUGGAAUUCCUGGUGUAGAGGUGAAAUUCGUAGAUAUCAGGAGGAACACCGGUGGCGAAGGCGACUUUCUGGCCCUAUACUGACGCUGAGACGCGAGAGCGUGGGUAGCAAACAG